UGAGUAACCUGCCCUUAACUCUGGGAUAAGCCUGGGAAACUGGGUCUAAUACCGGAUAUGACUCCUCAUCGCAUGGUGGGGAGUGGAAAGCUUUAUUGUGGUUUUGAUGGACUCGCGGCCUAUCAGCUUGUUGGUGAGGUAAUGGCUCACCAAGGCGACGACGGGUAGCCGGCCUGAGAGGGCGACCGGCCACACGUGGGACUGAGAUACGGCCCAGACUCCGUACGGGAGGCAG
RNAcentral lists this ribosomal RNA (235 nucleotides) under uncultured bacterium. RNAcentral's name for it is "partial 16S ribosomal RNA". It matches the Rfam family "Bacterial small subunit ribosomal RNA", at positions 118 to 351 of the family's 1533-position model. The record is from RNAcentral.